Long non-coding RNA from Chinchilla lanigera (long-tailed chinchilla), 435 nucleotides. RefSeq lists it as uncharacterized. The record is from RefSeq and is a predicted model, not a curated record. The transcript has 3 exons. NCBI's taxonomy places the organism in Eukaryota, Metazoa, Chordata, Mammalia, Rodentia, Chinchillidae.
UUACCCACGGGCAGUAGGCUUCCCGUGUUGCGUGAGUGAGAACCGUGCUAUUCGUGCUCACUGCGGGUUUCCAGGCGCGGGGAAGCUGGCCGCCGUUACCUGGGCCAUGCCACAGAAACAAAUCCACGGCUCAGCCUGCGUGGAAGAGCAAGGAGGAAGGUCGUAGCAGCUACUUCGGUCUCCAGGGAAGGAGAGAGCCAGAAUGAGGGCUUAUCACAUGUGAUUCAAGAAAAUACCUUGUUAGAAGCCUCCACUUUUAAAAAAGUCCACACAGGAGGAGACGCAGAACGGGAUUAAAGAUGUCUGCCAGGUGCUGCGACACACGAAAUAGCAGAUGGGUGAGGCAGCUCUUGUCGUCGUUCCCCAUUUUCCUGAUGAAAGCCUGCAACUAAGAAAUAGAAAAUUCCCCGAGGGCUGUCGGCUAGUUAGGAUUCA